Molecule: ribosomal RNA, 252 nt
Filed under: uncultured bacterium
Lineage: Bacteria
Description: partial 16S ribosomal RNA
Rfam family: Bacterial small subunit ribosomal RNA
Source: RNAcentral
UACGUAGGUCCCGAGCGUUGUCCGGAUUUAUUGGGCGUAAAGCGAGCGCAGGUGGUUUAUUAAGUCUGGUGUAAAAGGCAGUGGCUCAACCAUUGUAUGCAUUGGAAACUGGUAGACUUGAGUUGGCGAGAAGUACGCGGAAUGCGCGGUGUAGCGGUGAAAUGCAUAGAUAUCGCGCAGAACUCCGAUUGCGAAGGCAGCGUACCGGCGCCACACUGACGCUGAGGCACGAAAGCGUGGGGAUCGAACAGG